Molecule: ribosomal RNA, 349 nt
Filed under: uncultured bacterium
Lineage: Bacteria
Description: partial 16S ribosomal RNA
Rfam family: Bacterial small subunit ribosomal RNA
Source: RNAcentral
CCUACGGGUGGCAGCAGUGAGGAAUAUUGGUCAAUGGCCGGAAGGCUGAACCAGCCAAGCCGCGUGAAGGACGAAGGUGCCAAGCAUUGUAAACUUCUUUUGUCAAGGGACAAAAUCAGGCUCGAGAGCCUGACCGAGGGUACUUGAAGAAAAAGCAUCGGCUAACUCCGUGCCAGCAGCCGCGGUAAUACGGAGGAUGCGAGCGUUAUCCGGAUUUAUGGGGUUUAAAGGGUGCGGAGGCGGGCUGUUACGGCAGCGGUAAAAGCCCGGGGCGCAACCCCGGCGAGCCGUUGAAACUGGCUGGUUUGAGAAGUCGAGAGGGAUGCGGAAUGCGGAGGGUAGCGGGGAA